UCCGUAGGGUGCGAGCGUUGUCCGGAAUUAUUGGGCGUAAAGAGCUCGUAGGCGGUCUGUCGCGUCUGCUGUGAAAACUCAGGGCUUAACCCUGAGCUUGCAGUGGGUACGGGCAGACUAGAGUGCGGUAGGGGAGACUGGAAUUCCUGGUGUAGCGGUGAAAUGCGCAGAUAUCGUCAAGAACACCUAUAGCGAAGGCAGCUUACUAGGCUGUAACUGACGCUGAGGCACGAAAGUGUGGGGAUCAAACAGG
This 253-nucleotide ribosomal RNA is filed under the name uncultured bacterium. Its description in RNAcentral is "partial 16S ribosomal RNA". It matches the Rfam family "Bacterial small subunit ribosomal RNA", at positions 524 to 776 of the family's 1533-position model. The record is from RNAcentral.